UCUCCGUUGGUGAACCAGCGGAGGGAUCAUUACAGAGUUUUUAACUCCCAAACCCAUGUGAACUUACCAUUGUUGCCUCGGCGGAGCCUACCCUGUAGCUACCCUGUAGGGUGGUUACCCUGUAGCGACCUACCCUGUAGCCGCCGGCGGACCAAUAAACUCUUGUUAUUCUAUGGAUAUCUGAGCAUCUUAUUUAAUAAGUUAAAACUUUCAACAACGGAUCUCUUGGUUCUGGCAUCGAUGAAGAACGCAGC
This 254-nucleotide unclassified non-coding RNA is filed under the name uncultured fungus. RNAcentral's name for it is "sequence contains ITS1, 5.8S rRNA gene". The stretch from base 206 to 254 matches the Rfam family "5.8S ribosomal RNA", at positions 1 to 49 of the family's 154-position model. Lineage: Eukaryota; Fungi. The record is from RNAcentral.